UGAAGUAGUUUCAGGAUGGGU
RNAcentral lists this non-coding RNA (21 nucleotides) under Arabidopsis thaliana (thale cress). The record is from RNAcentral. Lineage: Eukaryota; Viridiplantae; Streptophyta; Magnoliopsida; Brassicales; Brassicaceae.